UGGCACCAAGCCAAGUGGUUACGGCGACAGAUUCGAAUCUUGAUGUACAUUCAUCUAUUUAGGUUCAAAUCCUGCCGGUGUCAA
Desarmillaria ectypa is the source of this 84-nucleotide non-coding RNA. Lineage: Eukaryota; Fungi; Basidiomycota; Agaricomycetes; Agaricales; Physalacriaceae. The record is from the annotation of a GenBank genome assembly.